GACGAACGCUGGCGGCGUGCUUAACACAUGCAAGUCGAACGAUGAAGAAAAGAAUCGAAGCUUCGGCAGAAAUUCAUUUCGGAUUAGUGGCAGACGGGUGAGUAACGCGUGAGCAACCUACCUCUUACAAAGGGAUAGCCUCGGGAAACCGGGAUUAAUACCAUAUAACAUUGCGACGAAGCAUUUCGAUGCAAUCAAAGCUACGGAGGUAAGAGAUGGGCUCGCGUCCCAUUAACCGGAUGGUGAGGUAACGGCCCACCAUAGUGACGAUGGGUAACCGGCCUGAGAAGGUGAACGGUCACACUGGAACUGAGACACGGUCCAGACUCCUACGGGAGGCAGCAGUGGGGAAUAUUGCACAAUGGAGGGAACUCUGAUGCAGCGACGCCGCGUGAGUGAUUAAGGAAUUCGUUUCGUAAAACUCUGUUCUAUGGGAAGAAAAGGACGGUACCAUAGGAGAAAGCUCCGGCUAAAUACGUG
RNAcentral lists this ribosomal RNA (480 nucleotides) under uncultured bacterium. RNAcentral describes it as "partial 16S ribosomal RNA". It matches the Rfam family "Bacterial small subunit ribosomal RNA", at positions 28 to 507 of the family's 1533-position model. The record is from RNAcentral.